This is a non-coding RNA of Xyrichtys novacula (pearly razorfish), 5489 nucleotides long. NCBI's taxonomy places the organism in Eukaryota, Metazoa, Chordata, Actinopteri, Labriformes, Labridae. The record is from the annotation of a GenBank genome assembly.
CAGAUUUCAUUUGUAUAUGCACUGUUCAUCCUUUUUCAUUGACCAGGUGGCUUGAUUGUUGUUUUGGCAAAGUGUGUCGCCGAAGCCACUAUGUUUUCUGCGUUUUUAUCUAUAAGCACCUUCAUAGCUCAUUUGGUAGAGCACAUGACUUUAAGAAGUUCUAGAAACGCUCUGGUUCAAAGGUCGCUGGUUCAACUCCUGCUCCAAACACCAGAUUUCAUUGGUCUAUGCACUGUUCAACCUUUUUCCUUGACAAGGUGGCUUGAUUGUUGUUUUGGCAAAGUGUGUCGCCGAAGCCACUAUGUUUUCUGCGUUUAUAUCUAUAAGCACCUUCAUAGCUCAGUUGGUAGAGCACAUGACUUUAAGAAGUUCCUGAAACGCUGUGGUCCAAAGGACGCUGGUUCAACUCCUGCUCCAAACACCAGAUUUCAUUGGUGUAUGCACUGUUCAACCUUUUUCAUUGACCAUGUUGGUUCAAUAGUUAUGUUGGCAAAGUGUGUCGCCGAAGCCACUAUGUUUUCUGCGUUUUUAUCUAUAAGCACCUUCAUAGCUCAGUUGGUAGAGCACAUGACUUUAAGAAGUUCCUGAAACGCUGUGGUCCAAAGGACGCUGGUUCAACUCCUGCUCCAAACACCAGAUUUCAUUUGUAUAUGCACUGUUCAUCCUUUUUCAUUGACCAGGUGGCUUGAUUGUUGUUUUGGCAAAGUGUGUCGCCGAAGCCACUAUGUUUUCUGCGUUUUUAUCUAUAAGCACUUUCAUAGCUCAGUUGGUAGAGCACAUGACUGUAAGAAGUUCCUGAAACGCUGUGGUCCAAAGGUCGCUGGUUCAACUCCUACUCCAAACACCAGAUUUCAAUGGUCUAUGCACUGUUCAACCUUUUUCAUUGACCAGGUGGCUUGAUUGUUGUUUUGGCAAAGUGUGUCGCCGAAGCCACUAUGUUUUCUGCGUUUUUAUCUAUAAGCACCUUCAUAGCUCAGUUGGUAGAGCACAUGACUUUAAGAAGUUCCUGAAACGCUGUGGUCCAAAGGUCGCUGGUUCAACUCCUGCUCCAAACACCAGAUUUCAUUCGUAUAUGCACUGUUCAUCCUUUUUCAUUGACCAGGUGGCUUGAUUGUUGUUUUGGCAAAGUGUGUCGCCGAAGCCACUAUGUUUUCUGCGUUUUUAUCUAUAAGCACCUUCAUAGCUCAGUUGGUAGAGCACAUGACUGUAAGAAGUUCCUGAAACGCUGUGGUCCAAAGGUCGCUGGUUCAACUCCUACUCCAAACACCAGAUUUCAAUGUUCUAUGCACUGUUCAACCUUUUUCAUUGACCAGGUGGCUUGAUUGUUGUUUUGGCAAAGUGUGUCGCCGAAGCCACUAUGUUUUCUGCGUUUUUAUCUAUAAGCACCUUCAUAGCUCAGUUGGUAGAGCACAUGACUUUAAGAAGUUCCUGAAACGCUGUGGUCCAAAGGUCGCUGGUUCAACUCCAGCUCCAAGCAACAGAUUUCAUUUGUAUAUGCACUGUUCAUCCUUUUUCAUUGACCAGGUGGCUUGAUUGUUGUUUUGGCAAAGUGUGUCGCCGAAGCCACUAUGUUUUCUGCGUUUUUAUCUAUAAGCACCUUCAUAGCUCAUUUGGUAGAGCACAUGACUUUAAGAAGUUCUAGAAACGCUCUGGUUCAAAGGUCGCUGGUUCAACUCCUGCUCCAAACACCAGAUUUCAUUGGUCUAUUCACUGUUCAACCUUUUUCAUUGACCAGGUGGCUUGAUUGUUGUGUUGGCAAAGUGUGUCGCCGAAGCCACUAUGUUUUCUCCGUUUUCAUCUAUAAGCACCUUCAUAGCUCAUUUGGUAGAGCACAUGACUGUAAGAAGUUCCUGAAACGCUGUGGUCCAAAGGUCCCUGGUUCAACUCCAGCUCCAAGCACCAGAUUUCAUUUGUAUAUGCACUGUUCAUCCUUUUUCAUUGACCAGUUUGCUUCAUUGUUGUGUUGGCAAAGUGUGUCGCCGAAGCCACUAUGUUUUCUGCGUUUUUAUCUAUAAGCAGCUUCAUAGCUCAGUUGGUAGAGCACAUGACUUUAAGAAGUUCCUGAAACGCUGUGGUCCAAAGGACGCUGGUUCAACUCCUGCUCCAAACACCAGAUUUCAUUUGUCUAUGCACUGUUCAACCUUUUUCAUUGACCAGGUUGGUUCAAUAGUUAUGUUGGCAAAGUGUGUCGCCGAAGCCACUAUGUUUUCUGCGUUUUUAUCUAUAAGCACCUUCAUAGCUCAGUUGGUAGAGCACAUGACUUUAAGAAGUUCCUGAAAUGCUGUGGUCCAAAGGUCGCUGGUUCAACUCCAGCUCCAAGCACCGGAUUUCAUUUGUAUAUGCACUGUUCAUCCUUUUUCAUUGACCAGGUGGCUUGAUUGUUGUUUUGGCAAAGUGUGUCGCCGAAGCCACUAUGUUUUCUGCGUUUUUAUCUAUAAGCACCUUCAUAGCUCAGUUGGUAGAGCACAUGACUUUAAGAAGUUCCUGAAACGCUGUGGUCCAAAGGACGCUGGUUCAACUCCAGCUCCAAACACCAGAUUUCAUUGGUGUAUGCACUGUUCAACCUUUUCCAUUGACCAUGUUGGUUCAAUAGUUAUGUUGGCAAAGUGUGUCGCCGAAGCCACUAUGUUUUCUGCGUUUUUAUCUAUAAGCACCUUCAUAGCUCAGUUGGUAGAGCACAUGACUUUAAGAAGUUCCUGAAACGCUGUGGUCCAAAGGACGCUGGUUCAACUCCUGCUCCAAACACCAGAUUUCAUUUGUAUAUGCACUGUUCAUCCUUUUUCAUUGACCAGGUGGCUUGAUUGUUGUUUUGGCAAAGUGUGUCGCCGAAGCCACUAUGUUUUCUGCGUUUUUAUCUAUAAGCACCUUCAUAGCUCAGUUGGUAGAGCACAUGACUGUAAGAAGUUCCUGAAACGCUGUGGUCCAAAGGUCGCUGGUUCAACUCCUACUCCAAACACCAGAUUUCAAUGGUCUAUGCACUGUUCAACCUUUUUCAUUGACCAGGUGGCUUGAUUGUUGUUUUGGCAAAGUGUGUCGCCGAAGCCACUAUGUUUUCUGCGUUUUUAUCUAUAAGCACCUUCAUAGCUCAGUUGGUAGAGCACAUGACUUUAAGAAGUUCCUGAAACGCUGUGGUCCAAAGGUCGCUAGUUCAACUCCAGCUCCAAGCACCAGAUUUCAUUUGUAUGUGCACUGUUCAUCCUUUUUCAUUGACCAGGUGGCUUGAUUGUUGUUUUGGCAAAGUGUGUCGCCGAAGCCACCAUGUUUUCUGCGUUUUUAUCUAUAAGCACCUUCAUAUCUCAGUUGGUAGAGCACAUGACUGUAAGAAGUUCCUGAAACGCUGUGGUCCAAAGGUCGCUGGUUCAACUCCUGCUCCAAACACCAGAUUUCAAUGCUCUAUGCACUGUUCAACCUUUUUCAUUGACCAGGUGGCUUGAUUGUUGUUUUGGCAAAGUGUGUCGCCGAAGCCACUAUGUUUUCUGCGUUUUUAUCUAUAAGCACCUUCAUAGCUCAGUUGGUAGAGCAAAUGACUUUAAGAAGUUCCUGAAACGCUGUGGUCCAAAGGUCGCUAGUUCAACUCCAGCUCCAAGCACCAGAUUUCAUUUGUAUGUGCACUGUUCAUCCUUUUUCAUUGACCAGGUGGCUUGAUUGUUGUUUUGGCAAAGUGUGUCGCCGAAGCCACCAUGUUUUCUGCGUUUUUAUCUAUAAGCACCUUCAUAUCUCAGUUGGUAGAGCACAUGACUUUAAGAAGUUCCUGAAACGCUGUGGUCCAAAGGUCGCUGGUUCAACUCCUGCUCCAAACACCAGAUUUCAAUGCUCUAUGCACUGUUCAUCCUUUUUCAUUGACCAGGUGGCUUGAUUGUUGUUUUGGCAAAGUGUGUCGCCGAAGCCACUAUGUUUUCUGCGUUUUCAUCUAUAAGCACCUUCAUAGCUCAGUUGGUAGAGCACAUGACUGUAAGAAGUUCCUGAAACGCUGUGGUCCAAAGGUCGCUGGUUCAACUCCAGCUCCAAGCACCAGAUUUCAUUUGUAUAUGCACUGUUCAUCCUUUUUCAUUGACCAGGUGGCUUGAUUGUUGUGUUGGCAAAGUGUGUCGCCGAAGCCACUAUGUUUUCUGCGUUUUUAUCUAUAAGCACCUUCAUAGCUCAGUUGGUAGAGCACAUGACUUUAAGAAGUUCCUGAAACCCUGUGGUCCAAAGGACGCUGGUUCAAUUCCUGCUCCAAACAGCAGAUUUCAUUUGUCUAUGCACUGUUCAACCUUUUUCAUUGACCAUGUUGGUUCAAUAGUUAUGUUGAAAAAGUGUGUCGCCGAAGCCACUAUGUUUUCUGCGAUUUUAUCUAUAAGUACCUUCAUAGCUCAGUUGCUAGAGCACAUGACUUUAAGAAGUUCCUGAAACGCUGUGGUCCAAAGGUCGCUGGUUCAACUCCUGCUCCAAACACCAGAUUUCAUUGGUCUAUGCACUGUUCAACCUUUUUCAUUGACCAUGUUGGUUCAAUAGUUAUGUUGGCAAAGUGUGUCGCCGAAGCCACUAUGUUUUCUGCGUUUUUAUCUAUAAGCACCUUCAUAGCUCAGUUGGUAGAGCACAUGACUUUAAGAAGUUCCUGAAAUGCUGUGGUCCAAAGGUCGCUGGUUCAACUCCAGCUCCAAGCACCAGAUUUCAUUUGUAUAUGCACUGUUCAUCCUUUUUCAUUGACCAGGUGGCUUGAUUGUUGUUUUGGCAAAGUGUGUCGCCGAAGCCACUAUGUUUUCUGCGUUUUUAUCUAUAAGCACCUUCAUAGCUCAGUUGGUAGAGCACAUGACUUUAAGAAGUUCCUGAAACGCUGUGGUCCAAAGGUCGCUGGUUCAACUCCUACUCCAAACACCAGAUUUCAAUGGUCUAUGCACUGUUCAACCUUUUUCAUUGACCAGGUGGCUUGAUUGUUGUUUUGGCAAAGUUUGUCGCCGAAGCCACUAUGUUUUCUGCGUUUUUAUCUAUAAGCACCUUCAUAGCUCAGUUGGUAGAGCACAUGACUUUAAGAAGUUCCUGAAACGCUGUGGUCCAAAGGUCGCUGGUUCAACUCCAGCUCCAAGCAACAGAUUUCAUUUGUAUAUGCACUGUUCAUCCUUUUUCAUUGACCAGGUGGCUUGAUUGUUGUUUUGGCAAAGUGUGUCGCCGAAGCCACUAUGUUUUCUGCGUUUUUAUCUAUAAGCACCUUCAUAGCUCAUUUGGUAGAGCACAUGACUUUAAGAAGUUCUAGAAACGCUCUGGUUCAAAGGUCGCUGGUUCAACUCCUGCUCCAAACACCAGAUUUCAUUGGUCUAUGCACUGUUCAAACUUUUUCAUUGACCAGGUGGCUUGAUUGUUGUGUUGGCAAAGUGUGUCGCCGAAGCCACUAUGUUUUCUCCGUUUUCAUCUAUAAGCACCUUCAUAGCUCAGUUGGUAGAGCACAUGACUGUAAGAAGUUCCUGAAACGCUGUGGUCCAAAGGUCCCUGGUUCAACUCCAGCUCCAAGC